RNAcentral lists this ribosomal RNA (249 nucleotides) under Triticum aestivum (bread wheat). RNAcentral describes it as "partial small subunit ribosomal RNA". Lineage: Eukaryota; Viridiplantae; Streptophyta; Magnoliopsida; Poales; Poaceae. The record is from RNAcentral.
AUGGCUCUUCGCAGCAAGCUUGAUGAUGUCAAGAAACUGGACUCCUCGGCCACAACAUACUUCAACAAACUCAAGGUCUUGGCGGAUACAGUAACCUCUAUCGGUCGACCAUUGAGUGAUGAGGAGUUUGCCGGCUAUGUGAUUAAGGGCCUUGAUGCUGACUACGACAACCUUGCCGAGGCCGUCCACAACGCCAAGCCGCCACUUCCGCCGCACGAGCUCUUCUCCCGGCUGCUCUUCACCGAGUAA